UCCCUGGAGGACUAUUGGUUAGGCCACGGCACACUCGCUGCCGUAGCCUGGGUUCGAUUCCCAGCCAAGGAA
This is a non-coding RNA of Pangasianodon gigas (Mekong giant catfish), 72 nucleotides long. Lineage: Eukaryota; Metazoa; Chordata; Actinopteri; Siluriformes; Pangasiidae. The record is from the annotation of a GenBank genome assembly.